AGUCGAACGGAAAGGCCCUGCUUUUGUGGGGUGCUCGAGUGGCGAACGGGUGAGUAACACGUGAGUAACCUGCCCUUGACUUUGGGAUAACUUCAGGAAACUGGGGCUAAUACCGGAUAGGAGCUCCUGCUGCAUGGUGGGGGUUGGAAAGUUUCGGCGGUUGGGGAUGGACUCGCGGCUUAUCAGCUUGUUGGUGGGGUAGUGGCUUACCAAGGCUUUGACGGGUAGCCGGCCUGAGAGGGUGACCGGCCACAUUGGGACUGAGAUACGGCCCAGACUCCUACGGGAGGCAGCAGUGGGGAAUAUUGCACAAUGGGCGGAAGCCUGAUGCAUCAACGCCGCGUGCGGGAUGACGGCCUUCGGGUUGUAAACCGCUUUCGCCUGUGACGAAGCGUGAGUGACGGNUAAUGGGUAAAAGAAGCACCGGGCUAACUANCGUGCCAGNCAGCCGCAGUGAUACGUAGGGUGCAAGCGUUGUCCGGAUUUAUUGGGCGUAAAAGGGCUCCGUANGGUGGUUGAAUCGCGUCCGGAAGUGUAAUCUUUGGGGCUUAACCCUGAGCGUGCUUUCNGAUANCGGGUUGACUUGAGGAAAGGUAGGGGAAGAAUGGAAUUCCUGGUGGAGCGGUGGAAUGCGCAGAUAUCAGGAGGAACACCAGUGGCGAAGGCGGUUCUCUGGGCCUUUCCUGACGCUGAGGAGCGAAAGCGUGGGGAGCGAACAGGCUUAGAUACCCUGGUAGUCCACGCUGUAAACGGUGGGUACUAGGUGUGGGGUCCAUUCCACGGGUUCCGUGCCGUUAGCUAACGCUUUAAGUACCCCGCCUGGGGAGUACGGCCGCAAGGCUAAAACUCAAAGGAAUUGACGGGGCCCCGCACAAGCGGCGGAGCAUGCGGAUUUAAUUCGAUUGCAACGCCGUAGAAACCUUACCUGGGUUUGACAUGAAUCGGGAAUGCUCAGAGAUGGGUGGCCCUCUUUUGGGGUCGGUUCACAGGUGGUGCAUGGCUGUCGUCAGCUCGUGUCGUGAGAUGUUGGGUUAAGUCCCGCAACGAGCGCAACCCUUGUUCACUGUUGCCAGCACGUUAUGGUGGGGACUCAGUGGAGACCGCCGGGGUCAACUCGGAGGAAGGUGGGGAUGACGUCAAGUCAUCAUGCCCCUUAUGUCCAGGGCUUCACGCAUGCUACAAUGGCUGGUACAGAGAGUGGCGAGCCUGUGAGGGUGAGCGAAUCUCGGAAAGCCGGUCUCAGUUCGGAUUGGGGUCUGCAACUCGACCUCAUGAAGUCGGAGUCGCUAGUAAUCGCAGAUCAGCAACGCUGCGGUGAAUACGUUCCCGGGGCUUGUACACACCNCCCAAAAAGUCAUGAAAGUUGGUAACACCCGAAGCCGGUGGCCUAACCGUUGUGGGGGAGCCUC
Molecule: ribosomal RNA, 1409 nt
Filed under: bacterium NLAE-zl-G319
Lineage: Bacteria
Description: 16S ribosomal RNA
Rfam family: Bacterial small subunit ribosomal RNA
Source: RNAcentral